GACGAACGCUGGCGGCGUGCUUAACACAUGCAAGUCGAACGGAAAGGCCCCUUUGGGGGUACUCGAGUGGCGAACGGGGGAGUAACACGUGAGUAACCUGCCCUUGACUUCGGGGUAACUUCAGGAAACUGGGGCUAAUACCGGCUAGGAAUCCUUGCUUCAUGGUGGGGGUUGGAAAGCUUCGGCGGUUUUGGAUGGACUCGCGGCUUAUCAGCUUGUUGGUGGGGUAGUGGCUUACCAAGGCUUUGACGGGUAGCCGGCCUGAGAGGGCGACCGGCCACACUGGGACUGAGAUGCGGCCCAGACUCCUACGGGAGGCAGCAGUGGGGAAUAUUGCACAAUGGGCGGAAGCCUGAUGCAGCAACGCCGCGUGCUGGAUGACGGCCUUCGGGUUGUAAACCGCUUUCAGCAGGGGCGAAGCUUGUGGUGACGGUACCUGCAGAAGAAGCACCGGCUAACUACGUG
RNAcentral lists this ribosomal RNA (465 nucleotides) under uncultured bacterium. RNAcentral describes it as "partial 16S ribosomal RNA". It matches the Rfam family "Bacterial small subunit ribosomal RNA", at positions 28 to 507 of the family's 1533-position model. The record is from RNAcentral.